AUGCAAGUCGAGGGGUAACAGGGUGCUUGCACCGCUGACGACCGGCGCACGGGUGCGUAACGCGUAUACAAUCUACCUUAUAGAGGGGGAUAGCCCAGAGAAAUUUGGAUUAAUACCCCAUAGUAUUAUGAAAUAGCAUUAUUUCAUACUUAAACAUUUAUGGCUAUAAGAUGAGUAUGCGUUCUAUUAGUUAGUAGGUAAGGUAACGGCUUACCUAGACAUCGAUAGAUAGGGGUCCUGAGAGGGAGAUCCCCCACACUGGUACUGAGACACGGACCAGACUCCUACGGGAGGCAGCAGUGAGGAAUAUUGGACAAUGGGCGAGAGCCUGAUCCAGCCAUGCCGCGUGCAGGAAGACGGCCCUAUGGGUUGUAAACUGCUUUUACAGAGGAAGAAACACUCCCUUGCGAGGGAGCUUGACGGUACUCUGCGAAUAAGGAUCGGCUAACUCCGUGCCAGCAGCCGCGGUAAUACGGAGGAUCCAAGCGUUAUCCGGAAUCAUUGGGUUUAAAGGGUCCGUAGGCGGGACAAUCAGUCAGCGGUGAAAGUCUGUGGCUCAACCAUAGAAUUGCCAUUGAUACUGUUGUUCUUGAAUACUUAUGAAGUGGUUGGAAUAUGUAGUGUAGCGGUGAAAUGCAUAGAUAUUACAUAGAACACCGAUUGCGAAGGCAGAUCACUAAUAAUUUAUUGACGCUGAUGGACGAAAGCGUAGGUAGCGAACAGGAUUAGAUACCCUGGUAGUCUACGCCGUAAACGAUGGUUACUAGCUGUUCGGGAGCAAUCCUGAGUGGCUAAGCGAAAGUGAUAAGUAACCCACCUGGGGAGUACGUUCGCAAGAAUGAAACUCAAAGGAAUUGACGGGGGCCCGCACAAGCGGUGGAGCAUGUGGUUUAAUUCGAUGAUACGCGAGGAACCUUACCAGGGCUUAAAUGUAGUUUGACCGAUUUGGAAACAGAUCUUUCGCAAGACAAAUUACAAGGUGCUGCAUGGUUGUCGUCAGCUCGUGCCGUGAGGUGUCAGGUUAAGUCCUAUAACGAGCGCAACCCCUGUUGUUAGUUGCCAGCGAGUCAUGUCGGGAACUCUAACAAGACUGCCAGUGCAAACUGUGAGGAAGGUGGGGAUGACGUCAAAUCAUCACGGCCCUUACGUCCUGGGCCACACACGUGCUACAAUGGUAGGGACAGAGAGCAGCCACUGCGCAAGCAGGAGCGAAUCUAUAAACCCUAUCUCAGUUCGGAUCGGAGUCUGCAACUCGACUCCGUGAAGCUGGAAUCGCUAGUAAUCGCAUAUCAGCCAUGAUGCGGUGAAUACGUUCCCGGGCCUUGUACACACCGCCCGUCAAGCCAUGGAAGCUGGAAGCACCUGAAGUCCGUCACCGCAAGGAGCGGCC
RNAcentral lists this ribosomal RNA (1390 nucleotides) under Flavobacterium sp. BF02_S2. Its description in RNAcentral is "bacterial SSU rRNA". It matches the Rfam family "Bacterial small subunit ribosomal RNA". The record is from RNAcentral. Lineage: Bacteria; Pseudomonadati; Bacteroidota; Flavobacteriia; Flavobacteriales; Flavobacteriaceae.